Molecule: transfer RNA, 77 nt
Filed under: Shewanella sp.
Lineage: Bacteria; Pseudomonadati; Pseudomonadota; Gammaproteobacteria; Alteromonadales; Shewanellaceae
Description: tRNA-Arg
Rfam family: tRNA
About the family: Transfer RNA (tRNA) molecules are approximately 80 nucleotides in length.
Source: RNAcentral
GCGGAUCUAGCUCAGCUGGAUAGAGUACCUGGCUACGAACCAGGCGGUCGGAGGUUCGACUCCUCCCAUCCGCACCA